This 3581-nucleotide long non-coding RNA is filed under the name Anas platyrhynchos (mallard). RNAcentral's name for it is "lncRNA (ENSAPLG00020017842.1)". Lineage: Eukaryota; Metazoa; Chordata; Aves; Anseriformes; Anatidae. The record is from RNAcentral.
GAGCCUGGGUCAUUAUCGCCCUGCUGGGGAAAGAAAGCCAGCAACAAGCAGAGAUCCCCCUCCGAUUGCAAUUUUGGAGGCUGGGCUGCCUUUAUGGCUGGGAUUUGAGGCUGAUUACGGGUGGGAAGACACAAGUCUUGGGAUUUUGGGGGAGGUGGGAGGCAGAGGAAGGGGUUACCUGGCUGCAGGCUGGCUCUCCUCUGGCGCAGGGGUGGCGGAGGACGGGGACGGCCUCGACAGAUGAGGACAGCUUCGAUGGAUGGAGAUGGCCUCGAUGGAUGAGGACGGCCUCGACAGAUGGGAACAGCCUCAGCAGACAGGAACAGCCUCGACGGAUGGGGACGGCCUCCUCCAACCUCCCUGGCUGCCUCCUCUCCGCAGAAAACUAAAAGCGAAACUCCGUCAGGCGCGCCAGCAGCUGCCGGAGAGCGGUGCCAGAGCCGAGAGGCAGACUUCUUCACUUCAGGAAACGAUAAUGACCUGCCUUCCUGCCCUGCUGGUGAUUAGCACAGCUGGAGGCUGCAUCCCUGAGCACCAGCACGGCUUGUUUUUGGCCGGCCAGGAACUAUCUCGGCUGUCUGCUUCUGUCCUGGGUGGGUGGGUGAGCGAGGCAGGAGAUGGAGCAGCGAUGCACGGCUUCGGCACGCAUGAAGAAAUGGGAGACAUCAAAUGCAGGAGCUUUUCUUCCUGGUAUUAAGUGGUUGGAACCGUUUCCUGAGAAAAGACAUGGCAAUUUUUUAAAUUUUGAUGUAAAAGUGGUGAAUGGGAAAUAGUUCGUCCUUGACAGGUGUGGAAGAUCUCUAGAAGCAAAGCAUGGCUGGGUUCUCUGGCACUGGAGAAAAGGGAUGUUUUUCCUCUAACUUUGGAUCAAUCUGGAUGGAUUUCCAUAGGGACAGCAAACAGCUCGUCCUUCCACUCCAAUUAAUUAAACUGGUGUUCAUGUAGGCUUUCCCAAAAUGCUGUCCACGCACUGUUUUACAAGGCAGUAUCACUAAUUAGUGCAAAUACUCAACCCACUACAGACAAUUGGUAUUUUCGGGCCCUGUGUUGUGGCUGUGCAUUACUGCGGUCUGAAACAACUCAGGCUUGAAGAAAACCUGGAGGGCCUGCUCGGAAAAUGUGGCUCAGCUUAACCCUGGAAUAUUUGGGACCGGAGCAGACACAGCCACGCAGCACGGAGCAGACAAACCUCAGGGAAAUCAAAUAAGCAGGAAGGAUCCAGCCCGUGUAACGAGGCUGCGUGAUGCCUUGCUCUCACUGAUUUCAUGCUUGAUGCGUUAUUUCUAAGAAAACAGCCUGGGGCUCUCUUAAAACAUAGCUUUACAUGACAAGAGGGGAACCAGAGGAAGAGAAGCAGCCAGAUUUUGCAGCUGGCUGGGGGAGCAGCUAGCGGCACAGCUCCUGAACAGCAGACCCUAAUGUGCCUUUGCUAGGAGCCAGGCAUGGCUAUGAAGCUGCUGUGCAGCAGCUCAGGAGUGGUUCAGCUCCCUGCAGCUGCUGUGGAGCUGGCUCAACUUUGCUUUGCACUGAAAAACCCUGAGCCGUGCUGUGUCUGCUCCUAAUUAGAUGAGGUCUGAGGAGGCUGCCUCGAGUCGGUUCCCAUUUUAGCCCAAAACGGGCAGUUUUCUGCAAGCUCAGUUUGCAAACUGCAGGUAAAGUCCCCUGCCUGGCACGGAUUUGGAUGCUUGCAUGAUUGUACUGUUGGUCUUAUGCCAUCCAAACAGGAGCAUCGGGGGGCCAGGAGAACUCUCUGGGGCUGCUGUGGUGCCAGCAGGAUGGAUAUUGAUGUCCCAAACUUUGUGGCAGAGCAGGGAGCCCCCAGUGCUGGUGUCUGCAGCCAGACACUCAUGAUAAUGCUUAGUUUGGGAUGCGUGUCCAGACCUUCUUUGGCAAUAAACUUGUGAUUUCCAGACUGCUAUUAUGUAUGGCCUGUAGCUUUUGUGCUAACUUGGCUCCAAACUUUAUGCAGAAUCAUCCCAGCUCUUCUCUCCAAAGGAGUUUAUAGAAAAGAGAUGCAGAUUUUCUGCCUACAGCUAUGCGAGUCUGAAUUCUUCUUCACACAGGUAACCAGAUGAAGAGGCACCAUUUCAGGUAGGGUCUUGUGGAUGUUUUGUGCAAUGGUGGAAGUAUUUGCAUUGAGACACCCUUACCUGAAAUGCUCUAACAUGAAACAUAUUUUUUUGCUGUUUGUGUUGUGAUGCUGGCACACAACUAACCUGUGACCAGUUUGUGACCCCAGAUCUUCCUCCUCUUCUGUCACCUCUGGCUGAUGAGAUCAUGGGUUCAGUCCUUGACAUGGGAUUUGCAGUCUGCCUGAUGUCAUUCCACUCAUGUCUUAGCCUCUUCCUAUUCUCGUAUGACUUUAUCCUCCUUUAUUGAUGUUGCUUCAUAACCCCGUGAAAUGCACAGGGUGUAUUUCAUUAGCGCUGGACUACUUGCGUGGGAGUGCUAAUGAAAACAUUAAAUGAAAUCAAGCCCAAGGCUUUGAAAAACUCCUUCGGAAGGAUGAUUCUUCCUCGGCCUUGAAGAGGGUCCAAUUCUGAGGUGAAGCCACGCAAGGUUCCCGGCACAACAGAGCUCCCCUGAUGCAAAUAGCCUCUCUUUUGACAUGAUGACAAAUGAAUUUCAUCCCAACACAUCUGCAUGGAUGCUAUCGGUCUCCUGAGCCCUGUCUUGAUGCUGCUCAGAUGUGACAUCAACAUCUCAAGGCUUCUCCCAGGAGGGUUCAUUUGCUGAAGAGACAAUUAUCAUGGGCUCCUUAGGAGGUAGAAUAAAGGAAAAGCCCUUUAGAUGCAGCAGUGUGUGUUUUUUUUUUUUCUGAAGUACCUCAGUGCCAGCACAUAGUUGUCCGCGAUGUAAUUUUUUCCCAUUAAUAUAUCCUGCAGACCCUGCUGGAUAGCACUGCUGUUAUGUUUGCAAAAUGUUACGGUGUUAGCGGGGCUCUGCUCCUUUCAUGUAUCUUGACAAUAUGAAAUAUCGGCCUCCGAAGUGUUGGUUUUCCAAAGUAUUUAAGUGCUCCACUCUCCUCGGGCUAAUGGACAUCUUAUUAAAGCUGUCAAACUUCAUUUCUGGCUAGCCAGAUGCCACAGUCUUAUGGUGUAGCAGAGAGGUGUCCCUGUGUUUUCUUUCAAUGCUGUCAGCUAGCCACUGGAUUCCCCUAUCCCAGGGCUUGCUGCUAAUAGAAACAUAACCAUAUUUUGCUGCGAAGUGCAUAAAAACAUCAAUUUUAUUGUGUAAAAAGGGCCUACUGAGUACACAAGCAGCGGCAGCUUUAACAGCUGAUUGCUUGUUCUGAUCCUCCAGAGUGCGGUUUUACAAGGCGGUUUGGUUUAAGAGCAGCACAGAGGGAAAAUUGUGUCUUUGGGAUGUACUCUGCAUGAAAUGGCCCCCUUGUACGCAGGAUAUUGGAGAACGAGGUACGUAUUAUGCUCUUAAAAUAGAGCCCUUUGAAACUGGCAUGGGAUACUCAGGCUUGUCUGAGUAUCAUUAAUCACAGUUAUGGCUCUCAGACAAAAUGAGCCUCGACUUCACGUUGCUUGUUAAAAUAAGAAAUGUGUGUUUCAGUAUUUAAUUUGCAGCAG